CCCCAAUAAUAAUAACACAACCCCCUAUGAGCAAGUACUUGGCGACAGUGGGAAGGAAAAACUCCCUUUUAACAGGAAGAAACCUCCGGCAGAACCAGGCUCAGGGAGGGGCGGGGCCAUCUGUCAUAUAAUGUGUAUGAUUGCUAACUUCAGAUAGACACAGCCCAGCUGUUUCCCUACUUUACCUAUUCAUACUCAGCUAAAGUAACUGGCUUUAGAAUGAGGAACGCGCGUCAUUCGUUCUUUCAUAAGUUAUUACACCAUCAACAUGUUCAAAAUUUCAUAAAGGUCCAGAUUUGUUUUCUUCCUUGUUGCAAAAAUGUACAUCAAAUUAUAAAAUACAAAACAAACAAAAACAAAUCACUAACCAGCUUUUGUUUAAUCAGCUUUAAACAAUAAGUAAAUCCAAACUGAGUGAAGACAUAUUUCAUGGUGAUGUAUGGCACAAUGUUUGAUAAGUAGUGAUUUCUAAAUCACUGAGUGUAAGCUAUGCUAAAUUAUGAUAGGACUGUGUGUUUAACGACAGUGCAGUAACUCUCAUUAACAUCUGACAUCUGUCUGCAUAUUAACAACUCAUUUAGUCUAAGGAGUUAAAAACACCUAACCAGCAAUGAGACAUAAAAUAAUACAUACCGAGUAGUUGAGAUUUCGAGAUUGUUACAAGAAAUUCUUGAUUACUUUGUGAUAUAUGGCUUACUAUUAAUUACCCUUCAAGUAAAGUAGAGCGAUGGAUUACCAGACCUUUCUUUCUUUUUUUUUGGUCAUAAUUCAAGACAAACAGAAAGGAGACAAAUGAUUUGAAUCACCAGAGUUCAAUUAAUAUUCACAUCCAUAAACCUUCUGAGGUAUCGUCCAUAAUGUUAAAAUGAACGUAGAAAGCUAUUGGCAUAAUUACAGCCAUAUUACUAUUAUUAAUUAAAAUGUUUUUUUAAAUUGUCUGAACCCACCAUAAAUCAGAAUAGCUGUAAUAGAUGUGAUAACAGAGCAUGUAGCAGUUCACCAAUUAGCCGGCCAGCACUGCGUUAGCCGCUCGUUUGGCAUACGGAUGUGAAUAUUAAUGUAAACAUGCUCUGCACUGACAAUGAAUGUUGUGUUUGUGUUGCUUUUUUGUUUGUGUUACUCGUGUAUUAAUUACGCAACGGGGGACGAAAUUAAUUAUUCAGCAUGUGACUUUAUCUUAUAUAGAAACCUAUAAGCAGUAUAUAAAAUCACAUACAGACUUGAUUGUGUAGCUUUUGAUUUUGUUCUUUUGUUUAAUUUGAUUGCUUCUCCUGAUUCGUUUCCAGCUGGGUCUGCUUCUCCUAAACACUCUGAUCUUUGUCCCGCUGUUUUGUGUUCUUUUCACUGCUUUUUAAUUGGAUGGCAGCCAUUUUUAAAUUUUUUUCAUUGCGUUCCAUGAUGCUUUUAAUGUGCUGCUGUUUCUGCUUGAAGACAUUCAGUGCAUGUUUUUGCUCAGUAAGUUUAAAGUCACAGCACAGCACAUGAUGACUGUCUAUUGGAGAUGGUCACUUUUGCAGAGCAUCUUUUACAAUCCUGUAAAUCUUUACCGAUUGCUGCUAUCAUUCAGGUAGGUGGUUGAGUCAUGUGUAUGUAUAUAUAUGUGUGUGUGUGUGUGUGUGUGUGUGUGUGUGUGUGUGUGUGUGUGUGUGCAUGAAUGUGUCUAAUAGCCCCGCAGCAAUUUCACCCCAUGUUAGAUGUGAUGGAUCAGCCGCACGCUGCCACACACCUUAGAGCUGCAGGUGUAAAAAAACAGUCAACACAUGUAUCAAGGAGCCACAGAGAGCAGCGUGAUUCUGCAGGGCUGAUGCAAGACGACAAGGGAAUAAUAAUGAAACACAGCUGCUGUUUUACCACUGACCUGGAUUGAUACAGUACAAAGAGAGACACAGACGAGCUCAAUCCUCCAACACAGCUGGUUCUCCACUGAAACAAGCUGCCUCUAAUCCCAUUUGUCAACUGCAAAGAUGCGCUUCGAUUUUAGGGUCGUGGCGCCCAACAGCAAAUUCAAACGCGUCUAAAUGGCAGCCAUCACCACUCGGGAUGGCUUCCUAGAUGUGCAUGUUUUCACAUGUAAGCCCAGACGUAUAGGUCAGCACAGUUAGCGAGCGAUGUGCUUUGGACUGUCAGCAUAGCUUACUGUAAUAAGACAUCACAAACAUGUGCACUGCGCAUACAAACAUGAGUUUAUCCCCUUUCUGCCACAGAGGCCUCAACAUUAAAAGGUGCUCGAUUGCUCACUGUACAUCUCUGGCUUUGUGCGUGAAGGCAGCAUAAAUAAUACACAUGAUCAGUUUCCUCAUUGUUUGUCUUUGAUGCAGCAGCAGCCUCCUUCUGUCAACCUGGCUUCUCUGCCUCGUCUUUGUUGGCUUUGAUGCACAUUUAACGAGGUUGUACCCAGUCGUUCGGCAUGUUAAGUGGAUGCCACUCCGCUGUGCGCUGUAUACUCAGUGGAUUGUGCGAGUGACUCUUGUGUACUGGGGGACCGCUGGGUUUUGUUGUUGAUGUGUCUCUGUCCUGGCAGCGGCAAACAAUACCAAAGAUCUGUGUGAAGAAGGAGUCCGGGGUGCCUCUUUUGUGAGAACUACACCCUGAAACAGAAUUUUUUAAACUAUCCAUGCUGUGAUCUUGGACUUUAUAUUUCUCUGAAUAAACAAGCUAGUUUUAGUGUUGUUGCAAACUGAAAUUAGGCGCUAAUCUGUGAUAGACGCGCAGCCUUUUUUUCCUCUGCAGAGACAGAUUAAAGCUUUGGCUCUUGUUUGCUUGCUGGGCCUGUUUACACUGUCCAAGUUUUUUUUAAAAGCCUCUCUCGUUUUGUGCAGAUCCUCCCUUUAAUGUGUUUUCCCUGGCCGAGACUGUGGCACAGAAAGCACACAGAUGAUAACUGAUGAUAGGAGCGUGAGUCAUUCCAUGACCUUCCAAGCAUUCAACUCAUUUGACUUUGAUGUGUAAAGUAGACCAAUGAAUGGAGGAGCGGCUGCGCUUUAAUUUUGGUCUAAAUUACAAACUCAAAUGAGUAAAGCGUUCAGUGAACAAUAGCAAGGUGCAAGGGGCCCACACUUAUUUUCCCAUGACACAACAGUGCCACCUACUGGUGUCUACGUGUGAUUACGUGUAAUUGUGAGUCCUAGGAAGCAUUUGAUUUUCUUCCUUUCACGUUUUUUCUCUAAUGUUUGUUCAUGAGUGUCUAAAUGCUUCUGCCUGUACACUAAAAAUCCACUUUAUAAAGUUUUGUAAGCAUAUAACGCUCUGUGUUGUGAGCACUCACUGCUUUCUUUGUGUUUUUCACCCUGAAAAAAUCAAUAAACUGAGGUGCUUAAAAGAAAAUUCGCCCUGAUUGAAAUCGAGAAUCUGUGAAUAUGUGCGCAUGCAGUAUCUGCACAGUGUGAGUUCAAAGGUCAAGUGAACUCUAAUAGAUUGAUUAGAAAUAGGAUGCACAGACGGGGAUGGGAGCACGCUGAUUCAUUGACAGCCUUUAAUUGUGCAAACAGACAGCACUGUCUUUUCAUGAGACCUUCGAUUUCAUCAUAUUCUGAGGCACACAUGGACCACAUGAGGCUUCAGCACUGUGUCUGAGGAGGUGGUAUCAGAUGAUGGUGCUCUCUUCCUUCCUCUUUACCUUCUACUCAUCGGAGUUCAGUUAUAACACCACCAACUGCCACCUCCAGAGCUUCUCAGAGGAUACGGGCUUCGUUGGAUGUGGACCUGAGGCGAAACGAUCUUGAGCAUAGGAAGGUUAUCACACACUCACUGUCAUCUGGUGUAACUCGACAACCUGCACAUCAGCACCAGCGAAUCAAAACAAGAUGUUGGUUGAUUUCUGGAGAAAGCCGAGACCUAUCGGUGCGAUAUCGGUGCGAUAGGUCUCCACCAAAUUUCUCCACAGUUUGGACUGGUGCAAAUUGCCAGGUGAUAACAGAUAACACUGAUGCUCCAUUUGCUGGACAGGCUGAGGUCUUUUGAGGUGUGCAGGACAUUAAUGAAGACCUUUUAUGACGUAGGUCCUUCAUCUUGACAGCACUCAGACUGUUUAAUACCCACACAGGAUAAAGGUGUUUAAAAAAUACAUGUGUGUUAUUAUCACUCUCACUGUGGUAUA
This is a long non-coding RNA of Oreochromis niloticus (Nile tilapia), 4096 nucleotides long. RefSeq lists it as uncharacterized. NCBI's taxonomy places the organism in Eukaryota, Metazoa, Chordata, Actinopteri, Cichliformes, Cichlidae. The record is from RefSeq and is a predicted model, not a curated record. The transcript is spliced from 2 exons.